GCAGGGUCCCCGCGGAGAGCAGAGUCCGUGGCGCAGUCCUCGGUCCUCACGGAGCGUCUCUGCGUUCCCGGGGCACACAGAGCGUCCCCAUGCAGGGUCCGUGGUCCCCAAAGAGGGGUCUCCCCAUGCAUCGCGCUCUGUGCCCCGCAGUGCCCGGCUGAAGGUGCUGUUUGGGCAGGGUGGGCAGCGCUGGAGGCAGGGGGCUUUGUCUGGGUAGGGAGCACUGUCACCGUUCUUGCUUGGGUUUCUUUUUUAUGCUUUUCUUCUCUAAAUGCCCAGCUCACGCAAUCAUGCGGGAGAGACAACAGCACACUGCGUGGAUGGGCCGUGGGGUUCCUCACAGCCCACCUCCAGCCUUCUGAGACCCUCAUCCCCCAGCAGAUCCCACUCCGGGGUGUUUUCUCCCACGUUCAGCUCUGCACAUCAGGGCUGCUCCUUGGCAGAGAAGUGGACUUGGCCGCCCGCCUCCUUCCUGUAUCUCAGCAGGCUCUGUUUUAGCUACUGUUGCUCUGCUGUCCCCUCCAUUUCCCCUGGGAGCUCUGCUGCUGAAACCCAGCUUUGUGCUGGGGACCUGGUGCCCUCACCCUGUGCACUUGUCCGUAGCUGCUGGCUUCAGCUCACGUGGUGAUUACAAGGGACGAACUUUGCCCAUUCCCUGGGCAGUGCUGUAGGAGCAGUGGAAAGGCCAUGCAGCAGAAGGGACCAGAGCCCACCGGCACAGGAUGCGUCUCAGCGCUGUCAGUACGUGACCACUGUGCAGAGUGGCCAGGAAUAGACCAACACAUGGGACGGUCCUGUGGGAGACAGCACAAUGGAGGCAAAAAGGCAGUGCUCACCGUGCUGUCAGCACCGAGUGCCUCCAGCCCCUGAUGUCUACAGCACAUGCUCUGCCUCUGUUCUGUGCUUAAACGUGGCUGGAGGAAAACACCUUUCCUGUCUUGGCGAAGUGCUGUUCACAGUCGUCUUGGUACUGCAAGCAGGGAAUGGCAGCAGGGAAGCACACCGAGACAGUGACAUGGAACAAGUGCCAGACCAGGGAGAAGCAUGACUGACAGCAAGCACCAAACCUCAGCUUGAAGGUUCUGAGAGAUGCCCAGCAUGGUGCUGAGGACAAGACAGGGCUGUGAUAGAUGCCCAGGACCAGAAGCACUGUGGAGGACAAGAGGAGGUGCUGACCCACCAUUCUAGGCUUUUCCAACAUGUGCUGGAGCUGGAGGAUGAGGCUGCCAGCAGGACCAAAGUGGGGCUGCAAGAGGAGGAGGAGAUGGAAGUCGAUGUGGAG
Molecule: long non-coding RNA, 1282 nt
Organism: Strigops habroptila (Kakapo)
Lineage: Eukaryota; Metazoa; Chordata; Aves; Psittaciformes; Psittacidae
Exons: 5
Source: RefSeq, a predicted model, not a curated record